UGAUCCGCACACGCCUGUUCUCAGAAAUUUGCAGCACAAUAUUGUUAUCCAAGACAUACAACGAAUUGUCCAUGGGAUUGACUGCAAGAAGGUUGUACCAGUUGCUGUUGAGACCACAUUGGAGACAGGGAGGGAGCUUGGAGGCUUCUGCAGCAGUUCAGGGGUAGAAGAUGAUUUUAAAUCUCAUAUUUAGAGACAUACAAAAGUGACACUACAUUCCAGCUUAAGCUCUGCAAUCACCAUGUCACUUCUUGAAAACAUAAAGUAAAUGAAGGUUUUGAGGCAACAGUCAAUGACUAUCAUGAACUAGAUGGAGCUUCACAUCAGCAUUAGGGAAAUGAAAUAUUCUGUGAAGGUCAAAGCAGGUUACGACCAGUCCUUGGAGCACAUGUUUGCUACAGCUUACCAAAUGCACAUACACAGGUAUGCUUCUCUGCAAAAAGUACACGGCUGUGAAAAUUACUUUUUCUAGAUCCUUCUUAUUCCCAAUCUGUAAAUUACGAGUUAAUUUUUCUGUUUUGUGAUUGCAAAGUCAAAUGCUACUGAUAUUGGUACUGCUACUACUGUUACGACUCCUAUGCUACUAGUAAUAAUAUUCUAUUGAACACUUAUGAACCACUUUGCUAAGUGAUUUCUGCAUAUCACCUCAUGGAAUCUUCAUACCCUCACUAUGAAAAAGGUAGCAAUAUCAUACUCAUUUGUACAUGAAAAAUUGCUGAUGAUAAAGAAUUCCCCCCUGCCCAGCGGCCUACAUUAAUUGUGAAUCCAGGUUGGUAUAAUUUGUGGAGGGGAAGGGAAAAAACAAAGUGUUUAAAUAG
Molecule: long non-coding RNA, 818 nt
Organism: Dipodomys ordii (Ord's kangaroo rat)
Lineage: Eukaryota; Metazoa; Chordata; Mammalia; Rodentia; Heteromyidae
Exons: 3
Source: RefSeq, a predicted model, not a curated record